UAAAAGAUAAUUUGUUGUUUCCAAACAUUCUUAAGGCUUAACGUUUACAUAUAUUGAUUUGGACUCAGAUAAAAGAAGUCUUAAUGCCAAACUACUGACUAUAUAAAUCUUCUUCCUCUGUUCUGUCCUCUUUGUGGAUAUUCAAGGGAGCAAUACUUUGAUUUUUCAUCGAAGCCUAUGUUUCCUGGAGGAAAACAAGGAAACAGCUCUUUAAGAUACUAAGAAAAUGAUGCUGCACCCCAUCUUUUUCAACGUUCCAAACUCAAACUGUUGUCCUUUAGCAAAUUAUAUCUAUGAGGCCAGGGGUCCCUUGAAUGUUAGGGCUUUAGUUAUUUGAGGCUGGCAGAUUAUGCAAGACAUUAUCUUCUAGUGCAUGUGGUACGAGUUAUGGGAGAUUUUUUUUUCUUGGGCAUCGUUCUGUUGCAAGGGGUAUGUGGAAUAUGCUUUUUGCCAUUUUUAGUGAAUUGGGGUUUUGCCUAUAAAUCUUGAAGAAUUUGAUACUGGUUUAUUUGAGGGAUCUGGGAUGAACAAAAAAGAAUAUGUAACAUAUUUCAGUGGCUUGGCAUAUCUGGAUAAAGAACAAUAUAAAGAUCGUGAAGCACCCACAUGUUAUUGUGCAGUUACCUUUUUGGCUUCCAUAACAGUGUUUAACAUUUGGAGAUGGAGUUUCUCCAGUUUGUGUACAACAAUAAUGGGAAAACCUUUUUUCAAUAGAUAAUGAAUAUUCUGUUUUUGUUCGUUACUUUUCUGUUUUUUAAGAGGAAAUGUUAUCUUCCUCAUACCCAAUAUCUUUUAACGUGGAGCAGCCGUGCAAUGGCUACAUAAAAUUGUCCCUCUUUGGGCAGUCAAUGAAAAUCAAGAAAUUAAGUGUUAACUUGAGCUAUGGAAUUAGCCCAUCUGAAAGUUCCAUCUCCUAUGGUUUUGCAACGUGGCCAAAUUCUGAAGAAGAAGUAGUCCUAGGCAUCUUGUUUAAUGUUUGCAGCAGGCUUUUUGAGCUGUGCACUGUAGAACAGAAAGGCUUGAGGAAAGAAAAUUUAGUCCCAAAAGAAAGAAGAAUAAUGGAUUAAAAAUAUGUACAGCGAAGAAAUUUAGGUUUGAAGAGAAGCUUGAAAGUUAUUACUUCGAUGCUCAAGGCUUGGAAAAUUUGAGGAAAUUCAGGGUUACAAGGAUGUAGCUCUCGAGAACAGUUCAGGCUCCUUUUCAUGGGCUUCCCUUAUUUUUUUUUUUAAUAAAUUUUCUUUUUCCUUCCAAAAGUAUACUUAAUAAAAAAUUUUUAUGCUAUAAAACAAAUAUAAUAAUAAUAAAUUAAACUUAAUAAAUUCACUUAGCAUGAAUGACGAAAAUGACUUUUAUAACAUGGAAUUAAUUCCUUUCAAAAAAAAAAGGAAUUAAUUUUUUUGCUUAUCGGAACAUGCAACACUUUAAAAAAUUGUAUUUUUUUGGGUUGUCUAACAAAACAUUGCUUUUUUGCUUCCAAAUAGCAAAUAGCAAAAAAAUGUAAAAAGGUAAAAACUAGAAAAGGCUAACCAAUGGAGCCUUAGGAUUUAAUUAUGGCUCAAAAAGGUAAUAUGAUUGAGAUUUGUGAACUGUGCUGAGGAAUUGUAGCAGCAACAGCUAGAGUUAAAAUAGAGGGAAAGAAGAAGAUAAAGGGCCACUGUAUUGCUAUUCUAGUGAUUUGAGUGCUAGCCUGUUAGUGUUGGAGGUCAAGAAUGUGUCACACCCACACAACCCCACCCAUGCACACACCCUCUCCUCAAUGCGUCUUCCCUUGGAUUAAAAAAGAAGAAGAAGAAGAA
RNAcentral lists this unclassified non-coding RNA (1796 nucleotides) under Hevea brasiliensis (rubber tree). The record is from RNAcentral. Lineage: Eukaryota; Viridiplantae; Streptophyta; Magnoliopsida; Malpighiales; Euphorbiaceae.